GAUGAACGCUAGCGACAGGCCUAACACAUGCAAGUCGAGGGGCAGCGGGGAUGAAGCUUGCUUCAUCUGCCGGCGACCGGCGCACGGGUGAGUAACGCGUAUCCAACCUUCCCCUUACUCAGGAAUAGCCCGUUGAAAGACGGAUUAAUGCCUGAUGUUCUCUGUUUCCGGCAUCGGUAAUAGAGCAAAGAUUCAUCGGUAAGGGAUGGGGAUGCGUAUGAUUAGCUUGUUGGCGGGGUAACGGCCCACCAAGGCAACGAUCAUUAGGGGUUCUGAGAGGAAGGUCCCCCACACUGGAACUGAGACACGGUCCAGACUCCUACGGGAGGCAGCAGUGAGGAAUAUUGGUCAAUGGGCGGAAGACUGAACCAGCCAAGUAGCGUGAAGGAUGAAGGUUCUAUGGAUUGUAAACUUCUUUUAUACGGGAAUAAAACCUCCCACGUGUGGGAGCUUGUAUGUACCGUAUGAAUAAGCAUCGGCUAACUCCGUGCCAGCAGCCGACGG
Molecule: ribosomal RNA, 504 nt
Filed under: uncultured bacterium
Lineage: Bacteria
Description: bacterial SSU rRNA
Rfam family: Bacterial small subunit ribosomal RNA
Source: RNAcentral